GACGAACGCUGGCGGCGUGCUUAACACAUGCAAGUCGAACGAAGAGCGACGGAAGCUUGCUUCUCUCAAUCUUAGUGGCGAACGGGUGAGUAACGCGUAAUCAACCUGCCCUUCAGAGGGGGACAACAGUUGGAAACGACUGCUAAUACCGCAUACGAUCUAAUCUCGGCAUCGAGGAUGGAUGAAAGGUGGCCUCUACAUGUAAGCUAUCACUGAAGGAGGGGAUUGCGUCUGAUUAGCUAGUUGGAGGGGUAACGGCCCACCAAGGCGAUGAUCAGUAGCCGGUCUGAGAGGAUGAACGGCCACAUUGGGACUGAGACACGGCCCAGACUCCUACGGGAGGCAGCAGUGGGGAAUCUUCCGCAAUGGACGAAAGUCUGACGGAGCAACGCCGCGUGAGUGAUGACGGCCUUCGGGUUGUAAAGCUCUGUUAAUCGGGACGAAAGGCCUUCUUGCGAAUAGUGAGAAGGAUUGACGGUACCGGAAUAGAAAGCCACGGCUAACUACGUG
This 510-nucleotide ribosomal RNA is filed under the name uncultured bacterium. Its description in RNAcentral is "partial 16S ribosomal RNA". It matches the Rfam family "Bacterial small subunit ribosomal RNA", at positions 28 to 507 of the family's 1533-position model. The record is from RNAcentral.